UACGUAGGGUCCAAGCGUUAUCCGGAAUCACUGGGCGUAAAGCGUGCGUAGGUGGCGUGUUAAGUCAGACGUGAAAUCCCUCAGCUUAACUGGGGAACUGCGUCUGAGACUGGCAAGCUCGAGUGCAGGAGAGGAACGCGGAAUUCCAGGUGUAGCGGUGAAAUGCGUAGAUAUCUGGAGGAACACCGGUGGCGAAGGCGGCGUUCUGGACUGCAACUGACACUGAGGAACGAAAGCCAGGGGAGCGAACAGG
This 253-nucleotide ribosomal RNA is filed under the name uncultured bacterium. Its description in RNAcentral is "partial 16S ribosomal RNA". It matches the Rfam family "Bacterial small subunit ribosomal RNA", at positions 524 to 776 of the family's 1533-position model. The record is from RNAcentral.